AUGCGGGCUGGAGCAAAGUUAUCAUCCAAAACAAAACCAACAAAGUCAGCCGGCAGGCGAGUCCCGGCGCCUGCGACAAAUCCUGCAGGAGGCACAGCGAGAGAACUCCGUGGCCCAGGGAAGUCCGCGCGCCGUGGGAAGGGGACCCGGACUCCCGCCGGGGCCGCGGCCGGGGCCGGGGCGGGAUCGGCUCCUCCUCCGGAGUCUCGGGGCCGUCAACUCCGUCCGCACCCGCACGGCCGAGCCCUCGCGUCCCCGCUCUCUAACUGGGGCUGCCGGUCGCGCGUGGCCGCAGCCUCGGCCGCGUCUCGGGCCGUCCCGCGCCGAGCUCGCGCGGCCCCAUGUCCCCCGGCCCGGGGACCCCUCGCGUCUUCCUCGCCGCCCCCACCAGGCUCCGGGGCACCGGGACGAGCCGCGGGCGCCGGCGGAAAAGGAGUCCCGCGACCUGAAGUGACAGGGACCGGGGUCUCUCAGGGCCGCGGGCUGCUCCCCAUCCCUUUGAGGCCCGGACUCUUCCGCAGUCAGCACGGGCGGCGGCGGCGGCUCCUCCCCGACGCUCCGGUAGGCGGCGGUUCCCGCGGGGGGGGCGGGAGGCUCCCGUCCGGCCCGGCCUGGUGGAAGCCUCGGCACGGGAGGCGACGGGCGGCGGCGGCGGCGGCGACUCCCCGCGCGGAACCGGCUCGCCGGGUGCUGGGGGCCCUCGCGGGAGCGCGCGCAGAAGGCGGAGGCGGCCGCCGGCGGUGGGGCGGAGGUGGGGGGAGCGACCGACGACCGCGGGCGCGCGCGCGGGUUCCGGUUCCGGUUCUGUCUUCCCGGUCGCGUCCAGCGCGAGCUCGUGCUUCCCCUCCCCCGCCGACUUUUUUGGCCUCCUCCCCUCUGACUUCGGGAAGCCGCCUCACCCGGGAAUCCCUCCGCCGGGCCGCAUCGCGCAGCGCCGGCCGCCCGCGCCCGCCCUUCGCUUGCGCCGCCCCCGCGCGGACGCCUCCGCCUCGGCCUCGUUUGGGGGGAGCAGAAAAGUAG
This 1020-nucleotide long non-coding RNA is filed under the name Oryctolagus cuniculus (rabbit). RNAcentral's name for it is "lncRNA (ENSOCUG00000031915.1)". Lineage: Eukaryota; Metazoa; Chordata; Mammalia; Lagomorpha; Leporidae. The record is from RNAcentral.